Molecule: ribosomal RNA, 3096 nt
Filed under: Salinimonas marina
Lineage: Bacteria; Pseudomonadati; Pseudomonadota; Gammaproteobacteria; Alteromonadales; Alteromonadaceae
Description: Bacterial large subunit ribosomal RNA
Rfam family: Bacterial large subunit ribosomal RNA
Source: Rfam by way of RNAcentral
GGUUAAGUGACAAAGCGUAUACGGUGGAUGCCUUGGCAGUUAGAGGCGAUGAAGGACGUGUAAGUCUGCGAAAAGCUGUGGUGAGCUGACAAAAUGCAUUUGAGCCACAGAUGUCCGAAUGGGGAAACCCACCUGUUUACAGGUAUCUUAUAGUGAAUACAUAGCUAUAAGAGGCGAACGAGGGGAACUGAAACAUCUAAGUACCCUUAGGAAAAGAAAUCAACCGAGAUUCCCCUAGUAGCGGCGAGCGAACGGGGAUUAGCCCUUAAGCAUUUUAUAAGUUAGUGGAAGCCUCUGGGAAGUGGCGCGAUACCGGGUGAUAGCCCCGUACACGACAACGAAUUAAAUGUGAAAUCGAGUAGGUCGGGACACGUGUUAUCUUGACUGAAUAUGGGGGACCAUCCUCCAAGGCUAAAUACUCCUAACUGACCGAUAGUGAACCAGUACCGUGAGGGAAAGGCGAAAAGAACCCCUGUGAGGGGAGUGAAAUAGAACCUGAAACCGUAUACGUACAAGCAGUGGGAGCCCCAUCACUAAGUGCCUUUAGUGAUGUGACUCACAAAGUGCUAACCCUUGAUAUGACGAUUAACGUUGACCUGCGAAGCAGCCAACGGUAAACCGCCACCAAUCAAGCAGGGUGCUUAGUGAUGGGGUGACUGCGUACCUUUUGUAUAAUGGGUCAGCGACUUAUAUUUGGUAGCAAGGUUAAGCGAAUAGCGGAGCCGUAGCGAAAGCGAGUGUUAACUGCGCGUUGAGUUGCCAGGUAUAGACCCGAAACCCGGUGAUCUAGCCAUGAGCAGGUUGAAGGUUGAGUAACAUCAACUGGAGGACCGAACCCACUGACGUUGAAAAGUCAGGGGAUGACUUGUGGCUGGGGGUGAAAGGCCAAUCAAACCGGGAGAUAGCUGGUUCUCCCCGAAAUCUAUUUAGGUAGAGCCUCGGACGAAUUCCAUUGGGGGUAGAGCACUGUUAAGGCUAGGGGGUCAUCCCGACUUACCAACCCUUUGCAAACUCCGAAUACCGAUGAGAACUAUCCGGGAGACACACGGCGGGUGCUAACGUCCGUCGUGGAGAGGGAAACAACCCAGACCGCCAGCUAAGGUCCCUAAAUAUUGCUAAGUGGGAAACGAUGUGGGAAGGCACAGACAGCUAGGAGGUUGGCUUAGAAGCAGCCAUCCUUUAAAGAAAGCGUAAUAGCUCACUAGUCGAGUCGGCCUGCGCGGAAGAUGUAACGGGGCUAAGCAAUAUACCGAAGCUGCGGCAGAGGACAUCACUCAAUGCUAUUUAAGCUAACAGCGACCUGGCAAAGCCAGCCGCUGGUAAAGCGUUCAUCACAAGGUGGUGAAGAUAAAGAACGAAGAAGUAGCAUUCAGGAUGUCCUCUGGGUAGGGGAGCGUUGUGUAAGUGGAUGAAGGUGAACCGAGAGGUUUGCUGGACAUAUCACAAGUGCGAAUGCUGACAUGAGUAACGAUAAUGGGGGUGAAAAACCCCCACGCCGGAAGACCAAGGUUUCCUGUCCCAUGCUAAUCAGGGCAGGGUAAGUCGGCCCCUAAGGCGAGGCGGAAACGCGUAGUCGAUGGGAAACGGGUUAAUAUUCCCGUACUUGUAUAAUCAGUGAUGGAGGGACGGAGAAGGCUAAGCAAGCCUGGCGUUGGUAGCCCAGGUGAAAGUGAGUAGGCUGAAGAAUUAGGUAAAUCCGGUUCUUCAAGGCCGAGACACGAGACGAGCUCCCAAGGGAGUGAAGUUGUUGAUGCCAUGCUUCCAGGAAAAGCUUCUAAACGUAUGAUUAUGUGAACCGUACCCCAAACCGACACAGGUGGUCAGGUAGAGAAUACUAAGGCGCUUGAGAGAACUCGGGUGAAGGAACUCGGCAAAAUAGUACCGUAACUUCGGGAGAAGGUACGCCCUUGUUGGUGAUAGAACUUGCUUCUUGAGCUGAUGAGGGCCGCAGUGACCAGGUGGCUGGGACUGUUUAUUAAAAACACAGCACUCUGCAAACUCGAAAGAGGACGUAUAGGGUGUGACACCUGCCCGGUGCCGGAAGGUUAAUUGAUGGGGUUAGCGUAAGCGAAGCUCUUGAUCGAAGCCCCGGUAAACGGCGGCCGUAACUAUAACGGUCCUAAGGUAGCGAAAUUCCUUGUCGGGUAAGUUCCGACCUGCACGAAUGGUGUAACCAUGGCCACGCUGUCUCCACCCGAGACUCAGUGAAAUUGAAAUCGCAGUGAAGAUGCUGUGUACCCGCACCUAGACGGAAAGACCCGUGAACCUUUACUACAGCUUGGCACUGAACAUUGAACCUACUUGUGUAGGAUAGGUGGGAGGCUUUGAAUCGCAGACGCCAGUUUGCGUGGAGCCGACCUUGAAAUACCACCCUGGUAUGUUUGAUGUUCUAACAUAGGUCCCUUAUCGGGAUUGUGGACAGUGUCUGGUGGGUAGUUUGACUGGGGCGGUCUCCUCCCAAAUAGUAACGGAGGAGCACGAAGGUUAGCUAAUCACGGUCGGACAUCGUGAGGUUAGUGCAAUGGCAUAAGCUAGCUUAACUGCGAGACAGACACGUCGAGCAGGUACGAAAGUAGGUCAUAGUGAUCCGGUGGUUCUGUAUGGAAGGGCCAUCGCUCAACGGAUAAAAGGUACUCCGGGGAUAACAGGCUGAUACCGCCCAAGAGUUCAUAUCGACGGCGGUGUUUGGCACCUCGAUGUCGGCUCAUCACAUCCUGGGGCUGAAGUCGGUCCCAAGGGUAUGGCUGUUCGCCAUUUAAAGUGGUACGCGAGCUGGGUUUAGAACGUCGUGAGACAGUUCGGUCCCUAUCUGGUGUGGGCGUUGGAUGAUUGAGGGGAGCUGCUCCUAGUACGAGAGGACCGGAGUGGACGAACCGCUGGUGUUCGGGUUGUUAUGCCAAUAGCAUUGCCCGGUAGCUACGUUCGGAACGGAUAACCGCUGAAAGCAUCUAAGCGGGAAGCCGAACCCAAGAUGAGUCAUCCCUGACCUUUAAGGUCUGGAAGGGUUGUUGAAGACGACAACGUUGAUAGGCAGGGUGUGGAAGCGUUGUAAGGCGUUAAGCUAACCUGUACUAAUUGCCCGAAAGGCUUAACCAU